This 1259-nucleotide long non-coding RNA is filed under the name Canis lupus familiaris (dog). RNAcentral's name for it is "lncRNA (ENSCAFG00000058417.1)". Lineage: Eukaryota; Metazoa; Chordata; Mammalia; Carnivora; Canidae. The record is from RNAcentral.
GGUCACAGUCUUGGACGGGCGUCCCCCGCCGAUUCUGUCCUUUGUCAUCCGAGGUCAUCCGAUGCCGAGCCCUCCUUUCACUAUGUUUUCCUCUCCGUUCUCCAUCCCUUUGCCUGUGACACCCUCACGAGGUCGAGUCCGCUUUGCCCGUUUGCACGUGUGUCCCCUGGCACGGUCUCCUUGAACCAGCCCCUCCCGCUCCGCCCUCUCGUCUCCCCGUUCUGCUUCUCUUCCCUCCUUCCCGGGCCUGGACACGCCGCUCGAGGAACAUUCGUUGAGCCCCCACAGCACGUGAGCUGCGCGCGGGGCUGCCGGCGGCCCUUUUUCGGCGCUGCUGCAGCUCCCCGCUCCCCCAGCUGCCCCCCUCCCCACCUGCCGGGAACCUGGGUCCCAACUGCCCAGCCUGCGUCACGGAAGCCGCUCGCCCCUGCCCAGCACAUCGCCCCGCCCCCUUCCUCGGAGCCGACUCCUGAUUGGUGGGGGCGCGGUCCUGCUGCCGGCGCCCGCCCGCCCCCCGCGUGGCCCCGCCCCCGGGGCCGCCACAGGCUCCUCCCCCUCGCCCCCGCCCCUGCGCUGCUCCUCCCGCUCACCUACCCGCGGCGCGCGGAGAAGUUCUGGGCAAAGUACCGGGAACCGGCCGCGCGAGCGCGGGGCAGCGAGCCGGGCAGGGCAGCAGGGCCCCGGCGCAGGGCGGCCGGCGCGCGGUGCGGGCUCUGGCCCCGCUGUCCAUCCGCCGGUGGCCGUCCCCGCCUCGAUCGCCUGCGGCUGGCGCGGGAGCCGCCCUCGGCGCGCUGCGGAGCGGGACCGGAGCGGCGGGCUCUGCCUCCUCCCGGCUCUGGGGACGGAUCCGGGAGUCGGCACCGGAGCCACAGACGGCGUCCCCGGCGGCUGAGCGCGGCAGCUUUUGCUGUGAUACAUAGUCCUUAAGAUAAAGGACAGGAAGAGGCAGGAGAAGGAGGACCCUGACCAACAAAGGCCACUGACUUCUAUGGAAUAAACAAAGUCCAGACAGCUACCUUGUUCGGAGUGUCAGGUAAGCUUGUGAUGACUGGCAUCCAUUCCUAGAGUCUUGGGGUAGAGCAAACUGUAUCCAGCUCCCAGUGUGGAUAUAGGCUACUCUCUUCCCCUCAUUGUUUUUCCAUUAUCCUUCCCUCUACCCAAACCCCCACUCUUCCUUCUUGCUUCCAUGUCUGAUAGGGUUUAUUUCUUUGACUUUCAUUAAGAGAGAGGGGGUGAGGGGUGGGGGGAGAGUAGAGAGA